AAUAAACGAAUUUUUGAGUAUUUGAUAGAAUUUUUAACUAUUCGUCUUAUUUGAUUUUUUUAUGAUUAAUAUUUUUUUAUUAUUAUAUGAUAAAACAUGAAUAGUACUUUACGCGUGACUAAUUUUUUUUAAUUUUUUAAUAAAUUUUUUAAAUAAGACGAAUAGUCAAACGUUCGACCUAGAAAACUCAGA
This 192-nucleotide microRNA precursor is filed under the name Oryza brachyantha (malo sina). RNAcentral's name for it is "MIR812 microRNA precursor family". It matches the Rfam family "MIR812 microRNA precursor family". The record is from Rfam by way of RNAcentral. Lineage: Eukaryota; Viridiplantae; Streptophyta; Magnoliopsida; Poales; Poaceae.